GAGACUGUGAAGUUAAGCAAAUCCCAAAAAUAAACGUCUCAGUUCAGAUUGCAGGCUGCAACCCGCCUGCAUGAAGUCGGAAUUGCUAGUAAUCGCGGAUCAGCAUGCCGCGGUGAAUACGUUCCCGGGCCUUGUACACACCGCCCGUCACACCAUGGGAGCCGGUAAUACCCGAAGUCAGUAGUCCAACCUCGUGAGGACGCUGCCGAAGGUAGGAUUGGCGACUGGGGUGAAGUCGUAACAAGGUAUC
RNAcentral lists this ribosomal RNA (250 nucleotides) under uncultured bacterium. RNAcentral's name for it is "partial 16S ribosomal RNA". It matches the Rfam family "Bacterial small subunit ribosomal RNA", at positions 1251 to 1500 of the family's 1533-position model. The record is from RNAcentral.